UAGGGAAUCUUCCACAAUGGGCGAAAGCCUGAUGGAGCAACGCCGCGUGAGUGAUGAAGGCCUUCGGGUUGUAAAACUCUGUCAUUCGGGACGAACCGGAGCCUGAGGAAAUGCAGACUCUCUGACGGUUCCGGAGGAGGAAGCCCCGGCUAACUACGUGCCAGCAGCCGCGGUAAUACGUAGGGGGCAAGCGUUGUCCGGAUUCACUGGGCGUAAAGCGCGCGCAGGCGGUGAUGUAAGUCUGAGGUGAAAACCCGAAGCUCAACUUCGGGACUGCCUUGGAUACUGCGUCACUUGAGGAUAGGAGAGGCAAGGGGAAUUCCACGUGUAGCGGUGAAAUGCGUAGAGAUGUGGAGGAACGCCUGUGGCGAGGGCGCCUUGCUGGCCUAUUUCUGGCGCUGAGGCGCGAAAGCGUGGGGAGCAAGCAGG
RNAcentral lists this ribosomal RNA (429 nucleotides) under Actinomycetes bacterium. RNAcentral's name for it is "Actinobacteria bacterium partial 16S ribosomal RNA". It matches the Rfam family "Bacterial small subunit ribosomal RNA", at positions 355 to 776 of the family's 1533-position model. Lineage: Bacteria; Bacillati; Actinomycetota; Actinomycetes. The record is from RNAcentral.